Merops nubicus (carmine bee-eater) is the source of this 67-nucleotide non-coding RNA. NCBI's taxonomy places the organism in Eukaryota, Metazoa, Chordata, Aves, Coraciiformes, Meropidae. The record is from Rfam.
AGCCUGUGAUGGUUUCAGAAUAAGAGUAGUGGACAGAAGUGAUUUCUGAAAACUUUGUGCUGAGGCU